CCUACGGGAUGCUGCAGUGGGGAAUAUUGGGCAAUGGGCGCAAGCCUGACCCAGCAACGCCGCGUGAAGGAAGAAGGCUCUCGGGUUGUAAACUUCUUUUAUCAGGGACGAAGCAAUCGACGGUACCUGCUGAAUAAGCCUCGGCUAACUACGGGCCAGCAGCCGCGGUAAUCCGUAGGUGGCAAGCGUUAUCCGGAUUUGAUGGGUGUACAGGGCGUGUAGGCGGGAAAGCAAGUCAGAUGUGAAAACCAUGGGCUCAACCUGUGACCUGCAUUUGAAACUGAUUAUCUUGAGUACUGGAGAGGCAGGCGGAAUUCCUGGUGUAGCGGUGAAAUGCGUAGAUAUUAGGAGGAACACCAGUGGCGAAGGCGGUCUGCUGGACAGCAACUGACGCUGAGGCGCGAAAGCGUGGGGAGCAAACAGGAUUAGAUACCCCUGUAGUC
This 443-nucleotide ribosomal RNA is filed under the name uncultured bacterium. Its description in RNAcentral is "partial 16S ribosomal RNA". It matches the Rfam family "Bacterial small subunit ribosomal RNA", at positions 338 to 795 of the family's 1533-position model. The record is from RNAcentral.